Molecule: ribosomal RNA, 468 nt
Filed under: uncultured bacterium
Lineage: Bacteria
Description: partial 16S ribosomal RNA
Rfam family: Bacterial small subunit ribosomal RNA
Source: RNAcentral
GACGAACGCUGGCGGCGUGCUUAACACAUGCAAGUCGAACGGAAAGGCCCUGCUUUUGUGGGGUGCUCGAGUGGCGAACGGGUGAGUAACACGUGAGUAACCUGCCCUUGACUUUGGGAUAACUUCAGGAAACUGGGGCUAAUACCGGAUAGGAGCUCCUGCUGCAUGGUGGGGGUUGGAAAGUUUCGGCGGUUGGGGAUGGACUCGCGGCUUAUCAGCUUGUUGGUGGGGUAGUGGCUUACCAAGGCUUUGACGGGUAGCCGGCCUGAGAGGGUGACCGGCCACAAGAGUACUGAGAUACGGCCCAGACUCCUACGGUAGGCAGCAGUGGGGAAUAUUGCACAGUGGGCGGAAGCCUGAUGCAGCAACGCCGCGUGCGGGAUGACGGCCUUCGGGUUGUAAACCGCCUUCGCCUGUGACGAAGCGUGAGUGACGGUAAUGGGUAAAGAAGCACCGGCUAACUACGUG